Molecule: small nuclear RNA, 107 nt
Organism: Neltuma alba
Lineage: Eukaryota; Viridiplantae; Streptophyta; Magnoliopsida; Fabales; Fabaceae
Source: RefSeq, a predicted model, not a curated record
GUCCCUUCGUGAGCAUCUAAUAAAAUUGGAACGGUAUGGAUGAGAUUAGCAUGGCCCCUACACAGCACAAGGAUGAUACACACAAAUUGAAAAUUCAUAACUUGUUU